Molecule: ribosomal RNA, 460 nt
Filed under: uncultured bacterium
Lineage: Bacteria
Description: partial 16S ribosomal RNA
Rfam family: Bacterial small subunit ribosomal RNA
Source: RNAcentral
CCUACGGGAGACAGCAGUGAGGAAUAUUGGUCAAUGGACGAGAGUCUGAACCAGCCAAGUCGCGUGAGGGAUGAAUGCCCUAUGGGUUGUAAACUUCUUUUAUAUGGGAAUAAAAUGUUGCACGUGUGGGAUUUUGUAUGUACCAUAUGAAUAAGGAUCGGCUAACUCCGUGCCAGCAGCCGCGGUAAUACGGAGGAUCCGAGCGUUAUCCGGAUUUAUUGGGUUUAAAGGGAGCGUAGGCGGACUUUUAAGUCAGUUGUGAAAGUUGGGGGCUCAACCCUAGAAUUGCAGUUGAAACUGGCAGUCUUGAGUACAUGAGAGGUAGGCGGAAUGCGUGGUGUAGCGGUGAAAUGCUUAGAUAUCACGAAGAACUCCGAUUGCGAAGGCAGUUCACUGGACGGUAACUGACGCUGAGGCACGAAAGCGUGGGUAUCAAACAGGAUUAGAUACCCCAGUAGUC